RNAcentral lists this non-coding RNA (29 nucleotides) under Rattus norvegicus (Norway rat). Lineage: Eukaryota; Metazoa; Chordata; Mammalia; Rodentia; Muridae. The record is from RNAcentral.
AGCCAGGUUCAAACCUAGUCAAGGGUGGG